RNAcentral lists this ribosomal RNA (492 nucleotides) under uncultured bacterium. RNAcentral describes it as "partial 16S ribosomal RNA". It matches the Rfam family "Bacterial small subunit ribosomal RNA", at positions 29 to 507 of the family's 1533-position model. The record is from RNAcentral.
AGUGAACGCUGGCGGUAGGCCUAACACAUGCAAGUCGAACGGCAGCACAGUAAGAGCUUGCUCUUACGGGUGGCGAGUGGCGGACGGGUGAGGAAUACAUCGGAAUCUACUUUUUCGUGGGGGAUAACGUAGGGAAACUUACGCUAAUACCGCAUACGACCUACGGGUGAAAGAAGGGGAUCUUCGGACCUUGCGCGAUUGAAGGAGCCGAUGUCGGAUUAGCUAGUUGGCGGGGUAAAGGCCCACCAAGGCGACGAUCCGUAGCUGGUCUGAGAGGAUGAUCAGCCACACUGGAACUGAGACACGGUCCAGACUCCUACGGGAGGCAGCAGUGGGGAAUAUUGGACAAUGGGCGCAAGCCUGAUCCAGCCAUACCGCGUGGGUGAAGAAGGCCUUCGGGUUGUAAAGCCCUUUUGUUGGGAAAGAAAAGCAGCAGGUUAAUACCCCGCUGUUCUGACGGUACCCAAAGAAUAAGCACCGGCUAACUUCGUG